Unclassified non-coding RNA from Gorilla gorilla gorilla (western lowland gorilla), 102 nucleotides. It matches the Rfam family "Y RNA". From Rfam's summary of the family: Y RNAs are components of the Ro ribonucleoprotein particle (Ro RNP), in association with Ro60 and La proteins. The record is from Ensembl. Lineage: Eukaryota; Metazoa; Chordata; Mammalia; Primates; Hominidae.
GGCUGAUCCGAGUGCAAUGGUGUUUACAACUAAUCGAUCACAACCAGUUACAGAUAUCUUUGUUCCUUCUCCAUUCCCAUUGCUCUGCUUGACUAGCCUUAA